CCAGCAACCGAAAGGCAGAGCUCUUGCUUAUUUUACCUUUUAGCUACUGGUUUCAGCUUCUCCUUCUGUUUCCUUGGAAACAGGCAUUGAACAAGGAAAACAAGGAUUGGGUUCUACGUUUUCCAAGAGGCCACUGGCUGGACUGGAUGGACUACCCAGGUAUAAACUGAAAAUUUGAAACAUCAUUUUUUAUGAUAAAACAAGAGAACCACCAGAGA
Molecule: long non-coding RNA, 218 nt
Organism: Alligator sinensis (Chinese alligator)
Lineage: Eukaryota; Metazoa; Chordata; Crocodylia; Alligatoridae
Exons: 3
Source: RefSeq, a predicted model, not a curated record